Molecule: ribosomal RNA, 104 nt
Filed under: Thermaurantimonas aggregans
Lineage: Bacteria; Pseudomonadati; Bacteroidota; Flavobacteriia; Flavobacteriales; Schleiferiaceae
Source: RNAcentral
GUGGCUAUUGCGGUGGGGAUCACCUCUUCCCAUUCCGAACAGAGAAGUUAAGCCCACCAGCGCAGAUGGUACUGGCACUCCGCCGGGAGAGUAUGUCGCUGCCC